RNAcentral lists this transfer RNA (83 nucleotides) under Deltaproteobacteria bacterium. RNAcentral's name for it is "tRNA-Leu". It matches the Rfam family "tRNA". Rfam says of the family: Transfer RNA (tRNA) molecules are approximately 80 nucleotides in length. Lineage: Bacteria; Pseudomonadati; Myxococcota; Myxococcia. The record is from RNAcentral.
GCCGGGAUGGCGGAAUGGCAGACGCGGCGGAUUCAAAAUCCGCUGUUCUUACGAGCGUGUGGGUUCGACUCCCUCUCCCGGCA